UUUUUGUAGUUUCAGCCACACCCAUAACACACCCAGUCAAGGAAGAUAUAAAUGAGAAGCUCAACUCAGCUCUCAGCCAAGUCCUUCCUGGCAAGAUGAAGUCCACCAUCUUCUUCAUCCUUGCUCUGCUCCUCAUUCUGGAGAACCAAGUAUCUGGGAGGAGACUGCGUGGUCCUAGUAGAGCACAAGAUCCUCUGAUAAGCCAUGUGUGGCACAAAGAAGUGGAAGAAUCAGAAUCAAGCCGAGGUCAAGAUUUUGAUAAACUCCACUUUUGGGAGAAAGAUGAUCCCACAGGAGAACGAGUUUCAGUUAGGCAUGAACAUCUUGAGAAAAGUCACAUUCGGUUCAAAGAAGAUUCCAUGGAUGACUCAGGUUCAGCUGGAGAUCUCGAUCCUUUAAAAGGACACCUUCAGCUCAAACAACACGAUUCCAUGGAAGAACUCGUUUCAGUUGAAGCUCGAGAUUCAGCUAACGGUAUAGAUCCUGGGAAAAGUCACAUUCAGUGUGUUUGAACCUUUAAGGUGAAUCCUGUCUUAGCUGUACCUGUCCUUGGCCCAGGCCUGCAGGCCUCCCUGUAAUCCCAGCUGCCGGUAGCACUACAGUUUCACUCGCUGCCCAUUCUUCCAUUCUGGAUGCCCAAGCAGGUCACUGCCUUUCUCAUCUA
Long non-coding RNA from Heterocephalus glaber (naked mole-rat), 664 nucleotides. RefSeq lists it as uncharacterized. The record is from RefSeq and is a predicted model, not a curated record. NCBI's taxonomy places the organism in Eukaryota, Metazoa, Chordata, Mammalia, Rodentia, Bathyergidae.